AGAAGGAGGCAACUUCAGGUUCAGGGAAUGAUGGAUCAGCUGUCAAGCCGGCAUCUAAAUCUCAAACAAGUACGACUUCAUCAGAUGAUGUUGCGAGUUUAACACAUGCAACAAAGCAAGUUUCCCUGGGAGAUGGUGGAGCUAAACAGACUGCUCCUCCCAGUGAUCGAAAAGGCGAUGGAGCUGGAAGAUCUGAUUCUCUCCCAGAAGUUCCAAACUCAGAAAGUGAAUUCAAG
Molecule: unclassified non-coding RNA, 236 nt
Filed under: Hevea brasiliensis (rubber tree)
Lineage: Eukaryota; Viridiplantae; Streptophyta; Magnoliopsida; Malpighiales; Euphorbiaceae
Source: RNAcentral